Molecule: non-coding RNA, 9528 nt
Organism: Callithrix jacchus (white-tufted-ear marmoset)
Lineage: Eukaryota; Metazoa; Chordata; Mammalia; Primates; Cebidae
Source: RefSeq, a predicted model, not a curated record
GCCAGGCGCCCUCCUCCAGCUGCCGCGGCCCCUCACCCCAGGGACCGACCUCCCAGCGAGGACCGCUGACUUGGGCCGAGUAAAGUGAGGCGGGUGUCCCCGCUACGCAGGCCGGGGUAGGGGGCGGAAACCAGCGCCACCUGUUUGUCUCUGUCUGAGACCUCCAUGCCUUGUCGAUGUCCACAGUGUAUCUAGCACUCUGAGUACACGUGUGUCCUGAAUAAAUCAGGGGCCUCAGAGAGGCAGAGGCGUGAGGCCCAAAGCUGCAGGCCCCAGGUUCCUACGCGCCAUGGACACCGCGAGGGAGGCACGUUAAGGAGACAGCCCGGAGGGCCCGAGGCUGAAGGGACUUGGCUUUGACCCGACAGGGCAAAGGACUGCCACCCUAGAAGACGCUGGACCAGCCGCUGGGGAGAGAGAGAUCCACAGCGCCCUCCCCUCCCUCCUUUCCCAGGAAAAGGAGCUUCCCUGUAACAAACAACCUCUGAGCAAGGUGCACUCUGGCCGUCCUCCCAGGGACACCCAGCCAGACAUCCCUUCUAGUUUACAGGCUGGGGGCAAGCCCAGUGAGAAAGAAUCAAUCUAGCCCUCGUUUGCACCCAGUUUUCAAACGUCCAAGCUGGGUUGGUCCCGUGGUAUUCAUGUCCUUUGGAGGCAGAGAAUGAAUGGGCUUGGAUCAAUUCAAUCAAUCCCCUCAAAAUGUUAAAAACCUAAGAAAGGUCACUUCUAGUGAAUAUUCCUUUCAGAAGCAUCGCCCUCCCCACCCGCCCCAAACUCCAGAACUAUGUGUCAAGGAAGCAUGACUGAGAGCCACUGGACUCAGGGCGAACACAGGACCCAAGCAAUGGCCAGCAGGAACGCACGGUGCUCAGGCGGCAGCGCACCUUCUUGCCGCCCCAGCACCCAUGGUCUUACCAGCACCCCAAUUCCCUACACAGUCACGAUGGUGGCGCCUGACCUGGGAGGGAUAUGACCUGCAGAGCUCAUCCCAGCAAGCCUGUCCCUCAGUUCCCGCUAGGUCGCUCCCUCUGGCCUCCCUAAAGCCGCUCCUUCCAGCAUUCUCCCGCAAGCUACUCAGAUCCUCACAAUAGAAUCCCUGUUUUGCUUCAUUUAGCCAGAGUUGCUUUCCAUGGCUUACAACAAAGGAAACUUAACUGUAUCAUAACCCAGUCACUUUGUCCAAACCUUCCCAAAUUCAGACAAGUUAGGGAAAAGUGAAAUAAGAAUUAAUUCCAGAAACUCCCAUAGUAAGAAUCACUAUAUAAAAUCUGUAGCUACAAAAUUACUUUAAGCAGAUAUUUUCAAUCCAGGCUGCCUGGUUUAAAACUCUCAGCUCCACCACCUACCAGAUGUAUGAUACUGAGAAGUUACAUAACCUGUCUGAGCCUCAGUGUCCUCAUCUGUAAAAUGGGCUCAUGAUAGAACUAACUGAUGUUGGCAGGGUGAGAUAGCUCACGCCUGUAAUCCCAGCACUUUGGGAGGCCAAGGUCAAGAAAUUGAGACCAUCCUGGCCAACAUGUAAACCCCGUCUCUACUAAAAAUACAGAAUUAGCUGGGCGUGGUGGCGCAUGCCUGUAAUUCCAGCUACUCGGUAGGCUGAGGCAGGAGAACUGCUUGAACCCAGGAGGUGGAGGUGACAGUGAACUGAGAUCAUGUCACUGCACUCCAUCCUGAUGCCAGAGAGAAACUCCGUCUCAACAACAAAACAAAACAAAAAAGGAACUAACUGAUGUCAUGGGUUAUAAAGGCUAAACCUUUUCAAUAUGUAAAGAGCACAGAAUGAAACAUAUGUAAAGUGCACACAGGAAGAGCUCUGCACUUGCUCGCUGGAAUCAAAUUAAACCAUCCAUGGGUCCUCCAUUUAUGCAUCAGUUACUCAGCACCCACUGCACACGCAGCACUGCCCCAGGCACGACGACACAAAGGCAGAGUGGGCUCUGCCCUCGAGAAGUGGCCGUGGAUCUGCAGAGACAGACUUGUAAACACAUAAAUCCGUGUCCAAUGUGAUAAGACUAUUCUGGAGGUAUCAACAGAGUGCUGUGGGACACGGAGGAGGGGUGAUUAAUUUUGCUUCGGACGGUGGGGGAGUCUUUGCCGAGGAGGUGACAUUUGAGCUGGACUUUGAAAGACGAGCUCUCCACAGAACUAAAUCUGGACCCAGUGCCAAGAGAGUCAGCCUGGAAAAUCAAUCCAGCCACCCACAGGAGGGGCAGUCGGCCCAGGCUGCCUUCCCAAUGACUCCCUGCCCUGGAGGACACACAGCUCCUCAAGAUGGGGACCCACACUGUCCCUGGAGGGUGUUUCUGACUUGACCUCAUUUUCCCACCAUCUGGCCCCCUCCACUCACCUCUCGUUUAAGAGCUCUCUGCCCCAGGCAAACUCCCUGGACUCUGCCCCUUGAAAGCAACUUGCAUUUUCUUCCACCAAGAACAAAAAUAAUCAUAAUUGCUUUCACGUUACAUCCUACCUUUACAGAAUGCUUUAUAGAUUUCAAGCAAAAAUAAAUAUAGAAUAGCAGUGAAGGUCAGAGCUUAAUCCUAACUCUGCUGCCAACUACCUGGUGACCUGGGCUGCUUAUUUAAUUUCUCAUGCCUCUAUUUCCUCAUCUGUAAAAUGGAAUUGCAAGUUGCUAUGGGGAUGCAAUGACCAACAGGCAUGCAGUGUUCAGAGCGGAUCUGGUGAAGAGUGGGUCCUCAGCGAGUGCCUUCAUGUGUGUCCCCUCCCACCCUGGGACCUGAGCGACUCUGUGAUUCAUGCAGAGGGGGUACUGUGGAAGGCCAGACCUGCAUCUGAACCCCGCUCGGCUCUGGGCUUACUAGUCACUUCCUGGUGAAGUGACUUCACUCAAGCAAUGUAAUCAAGCAGGAUGGGGCCAUGAGGGCUGUCUCACAGACAGUGGAGAUGAUUACUGAGGAUAAUGCAUGCCACAUGAUAGGUACCUACUAUGAAAGAUGCUCAGUCAACAUUAGCUACUUUUAUUAACAACAAAUACUCUCCUGGCACCUGACUUCAUGCCUCAUCUCUGUGAUGAGGCUACGAUCUCCUUUGCAGCCUGAGGUGAAUCUCACUGGCACUUGCGGCCCCACCAUCCCCUUCCCAGGACCCAGUGCACUAGUAGGCACCCAGGGAACACUGGCUGGCAAUCUGAUUCCCAGUUGCUCUGGGCCUGCAAGUGGCUUCAUCCAGCUCAGCUUAGCGGUAAGUAGUGUAGCCCAAGGCUGCUGCUUCCUGCAGACUCCCUCACAGUGUCCCUGCAUCCUAUGGGGAACCCCUCUACCUGCCCCAGCCUCCCACAGGCACAAACUCAUCUCUUUGUGGUGUCUGAGCUGCUGGUUCAGAGUUGUUCAGAGACAACUCUGGUCACCCUUUUCUCCCAGAACACACUGUGAACAAAUCUAUGAUUUCCCCUGGAUAUCUAUGUAAUUUUUUUCAAUACAAACUGAACCGAGGAUGAACAUGUUUUCGGGACUCUCUGCAGAAUUGCUGAUGUUAUUUUUGAAUUGUUGGCAGCAAGGACUCCACCAAAAUACUCAAGGUCAAGAGACCAGCAUGGUUCUAGGCAAUCUGUACCUCUUAAAACAGUGACAAAUAUGUUAUUUAAUUUUAAUGAGCUUUUUUGCAUCUCAAAUCUAAUUACAGCAUUAUCAAGUACUGCUUUGAACUGCAGGUGGCUUCUCAUUACGUGUGCGAAGCCUGCCACGAGCAUUUUUCGUGAAUACUAAUAACUGCUUAAUUUUACUAUCUGCUUAAAAAAAAACAAAAACUUUCAGCAACUUACAAGGCUGGGCUUUAUAAAGCAUCUGCAGAGGGUGAGCCACACAGCAAUGCAGCUUAAUUAAAAAAAAUAAAUACUGUAUGUGGCCACCCUGGAGGAUGACAGCUCGGGGAGCUGCAGAGGGGCGGUGGACUUGGCGGGGAGGAGAUUCGCUUCGUGCACUUCUCGGAGGCUCUGUUUUAUUGCAGGCUUAUUGCAUCACAUUCAAAUUUCCCAAUUUGCUUGCAGUUCAGGGAGAACGGUUCCGUCAACAGAUUUUCUGGGUGACGGACUUCAGUAAUAGGCCUGGAGCUGGAGGUCCCUGGGGACGAGCUCCAGAAAUCUGUUGUGUGGACAGGUCCAGGGAGAUGGCUGCAAAUUCAUCAGAGAAGCUGUCCGAGAGGAGAGUCCAGCUGCCUCCCAGCCAGGGGAUGAAAGAGCGGAGGUGGCCAGGGGGUCCAGAGCUGCAGAUGAGAUGCUCUGCAGUCCCAGAAUGGUGAAAGUUAUCAAAACCCACGGCCAUGACUCCCUGCUGGACCAGCUCAGCUUUGCUUCCUCAAAUCCUUGCCUGUGCCCCAGCUCGAAGGGUCCAAAAGUCAAGCUGGCUCAAAGCCCUGUCUCCACCUGCCUGUGGCAGGCAGAAUAAUGGCCCCCAUGUCAUAAACCUCAAAAGCCAUGAAUAUGCUACAUUACAUGGCGAGAGGGAAUUAAGACUGUAGCAGCUAAUCAGAUGGGAAUGAUCACCUGAGUGUACCCAGUGGAAUCACAUGAGUCCUUACAAAUGGAAGAAAAAGAAGAGGCAGAAGAGAGGGGCAGAGAACUAUGACGUGCAAGAGAUGGGACUUGCCAGUGCUGGCUUUGAUGAUGGAGGAAGGGGCCACCAAUCAAGGGAUGCAGGCAACCUCUGAAACCUGGAAAAGCCAAGGAAAGGAUUCUCCCCCAGAGCCCAGAAUGGAACACAGCCCUGCCAACACCUUGAUUUUAGCACACUGAGACCCGAGCCAAAAUCAAGACCCAACUUCUGCCUUUGGAGCUGCAAAAUAGUAUAUCCGUGUCAUUUUAAGCCCCCAAGUCCACGGUAGUUUGUAAAAGCAGCCACAGAAAGUGAAUAUGCUGCUAAGAGCUGACCUGGAGGCAGACAGGGGGCCCCCAGUGUCAGCAUCACCAGUCCCAGUGCUGGCCACAUUCAGGGUGGGGUGGGUAAGAGCAUCCCGUAACAACUCACCAGUUGCAUCCUUCCCCUUAGACCUGUGGCAUACACACUUCUCUCCCAAAGAGCACAUCUGAAGCAAGCCUCCAUGAUCCCUCUGCUGAAUCAUGUGGUUUCAUAGGUCCCAGCCCCAUGUCCAAGGUGCUCUGACUGUGGGUUUUGUCUUGAAGUCUGUCGUUUAGCAUAAGAAGGGCAGGCCUUGCAGCCCAGCUGGGAGGGAUGCAGCAGUGCACUUGGGCCCCCACCAAGGAGGCCAUGCUGGCCCCUGCUACUCACUAAUCAGUCCCACUCAAGCCUCUUGCUGGCCAUGCCUUCUGGGGGUGGGGGUGGAGGAGCCUCAGACCAAGCCACACCUCAAGGCAGAGAGCAUCCCUGGUGUCAGCUUGCCAGACAGAUGCUCUGCUCCCACAGUUCCGACAGACAGAGGGAGUUAAUGGGCCAACACCGAGCCCUUUGUUUUUAUAAGAGAACAAGUGGUUUAUGACAAAGAACAAAGUUUCCCUCUUUACGAGGCCAUCCUUGGUGCUCCCUCUCCAAGCCCAUUAAGCCUGGUUAUCUCUUACACAACACUGCCACACAGGUACCGCUGCCACCGACAAGUUCAUUUAAGGGAAUUUAUAGCCUAAUUGUGCAGCUGUUGCCUUCUGAGUCGGUUUUAAGAGAUUGUUACACAAGCAGUGUCAUAAUUUAGUCAUGUUUUCAUCUCACAACUAUACUGUAAUUACUGUUGUUAACAGCAAAUGGUAAACAAGAGAGUGAAGAGGACCAGCCAGAGAGAGUACUCACGAACUGUGCGUCACGCAGGGGCAAGGGAGACAUGACACUGGGACCCACAGAGCUCCCCAGAAAGCCCACCCGGCCCCAUCAGCCCCGGAGGUUGGUCAUGAGCUUCAAGCACAUAGCAUGCACCUGAGUAUUCACCUGGCGGGAGAGGGACACAUUUUCUGCCUCCCAACUUCCUACUAGAGACUGGGGUGCUGAUAGAAGAUGAGGUACCCCGCCAUCGCAAGCAGCCUCUGGCUCUACUUUUCUUAUCUGUUUCCAUGGAGAGCUGCCAGGGCCAGAAUGCAGUAGACCCCCCCAGAUGGUUCAGGACUGAGGAUUGGGGAGCCCCAAGCAGUGUGCAUGAAACUGAGGUGACGCUCAGUACGUAUCUGAGGCCCUGCUGCAGUACCUGCUUGAGCAAAAGAUACAGAAAAACACUGCAAAGGAGUUGCCUGAAGCUACAGGAACAGCCCUGACCCUCGCCUCCUCAGUGCAUGGCUUCCCUCCUUCUGCUGCCUGAGGAUUACUGAUUUACACAGGAAGACCCGAGGGAGAAAAUCCCUCUGAGUGCCUUGACUCUGCUGGGCAUGGUGCAGGAUGGAGGUCAGGUGGCACAGUCCUGGCAGCUGACCCCUACCCCAUCCAAAUGGCUUAUUUCUCCAUAGGCAACAAAAUGCACCCAUCAGAGCUCAGUGUGGCUCAGUUCAACACAUGUUCACUAGGCCCCAUGAGCAUCUUACUAGGCACAGAGCCAGGGACAGGGUACAGUGACAUCACUCCAGGUAGGGUCUCCAGGAGAAACCUGAUCCAACAGUCACAACAAUAGUAGUAAUGCCAGUUACCUGGCAGCAUCCUAAGCUUUGAGGCAUUCUUGUUAUCCCCAGUUUAUGGCGAAGGUGAAUAGCCUGUCCAGGGCCACAGGGCUGGGAUUCCACCCAGAUGUAACUGACUCAAAGCCCCUAACUCCAAACCGCAAGUGCUAUUUCCUGGACCUAGCCUUUGGCUAUAGACAAGCAGAGGCCCAUCAGCUUGACCCUGGUUCUCACUAUGAACUACUCUAGCCCCUAGCUUCCUAAGGGUCAGGUGCCUCUGGCCCCAGGGCAGAGGAGGGGUGGAGGGGUAAGAGGAGAUGGUGAGAGUAUAGCAGGGUGCACGCCCAGUGCAGACAUUAUCAUCGUCACCAUCACUGUUGUCUACCCCCAGGGGAGGUCCUGUAGGCCUCCUGGCAACCCCUGUCCCUGCUCGUCCAACCACCCACCCUGGCUCAUCCAAAGCCACCGGCCAUGAUUAACUGGAGCUGAUUAGGGAAAGGUCGGCUGCUCUACAGAAUAGGGCGGCUAACGAAGCUGGAAGACUCAUUUCCGGCUUGCCGGAGCUGCAGAGAAAAAUUGAAGGUCCGGAGACAACAAUCAAUAAACACGAAGCUCUUCUAACAGAGGAGAGUAAAGACUAGGAAGUGAAGAGAAAUCGAAACAGUGACCUGGAAAACAGGCACAUGCUGAGAAAGGUCAGGGUGGUCCUGAGAAGUGGGGGGGCUGGCACCACGGAGGAGGCUGCUCCCUAGCCCGUCCCAGGUGAGCAGAGGGAGGGCAGAAUCCGAGGGCGCAGCCAGUUCAGCUGUGCUCAGAAACAAGCACCUGCCUGCGUGGCUCCCACUCCCAGCUGCCCAGGUGGUGGAGCAGGGCUUUCAAAGGCACUCAUGGCCCUUGAGGGCCUAGUCUUUAGGGUCAGCCUCCUCCAAGCUCAUGGCCUGUCUCCUGUGUGGCCUUGAGCAAAUGUCUUAACCUCUUGGCGUCUUUUAUCAUCUCACUGGCAGACUCCCCACCUCUCGGGCUACUUACUAUGUACCAGGUGCGAGGCUGGCACAGAAUGACUCUUCCUAUUCUGCAAAGGAAAACUCAGACCUCGAGAUCUGAGAAAAGCAUUGUGUGCAAUUUGGAGGCAGCCUAGAAGAUCCACUUUGAAUAAUGAAAUCCUGAAACUUGUGGGACAAAUGGGAUAGCGCUGUUUCUUAAGGAUAAAUAAGCUGCAGCUUCCCCUGCACACAAGCCAGCAUCAGCUCAAGCAGUAGGAGCGUUACUCCCCUGGACCCCCACAACAGCCAGGGACCUGCCAUCAAGCCUGCUCCAGCCUUUGCACGGGGCACCUGUCCCUUGGACAUGCUAUCGAGAACCUUAAACCAUGGCCUGCUCAAUCAUCAGGCCACCAGCCAGGGGCAUCAUUUAGAAAGCCAUGACAUGGGGCCAGCUUUCCCCGGCUGGCAGGUGACAGCAACACGAGCUUCUCAUGAAAUGAUGAGAAGGACAAGUCCCAAACGGCAUGUGUGGCUGUUGGUGGAGAUCAGGGUUCAAGGCACACAGGCAUCCUUCCCCAGGCAGGGGCCUAAGCCUCCCUCCCCAAGGACCCAAGCCCUUGAGUGUGGAACUCGGAUCAGCAGCACUCAGAAGCCCCCGCAACCCCAGCCGUGGAAUCCAGCACGUGCUCAGUGCUGAGGGACUGCGGCUCCUCCCACGGAGGCCAACCCAUCACUUCACGGACUUCCACCCCAUUGCCGGGUGUUUAUGCCAGCAUCGUGCUCAGCCAUUUUAUGUAGGAUUAUGUGCUGUAUGUACCAGAAAGCUCAUAAAAAAAAAAGAAAAAAACUGAAUGAACAUUGUUUUUAAAAGGCCCUUAAAGGGCUAUAAAGUGCAGUGACUUUCAUACCCUUGGGUUUUUCCAUCUUAUAUUAGAGAGUCCCUCAAUCAAAGCCGACUCUGGGCAUAAGGAGGUGAUAAAGAGGUAAGAAAAGUGGAUUCCAAGGUCAGGGAGAUGGGAAAUUCGGAAGCAGGCUGGCUCCCCGCGGGGCCUGGGCUCCAUUCCUAAGCCAGCCCUCCUGAGAAAGGCUGCCCUGAGCAAGGAGGGACUUGCUAGGUGGGAUCCGUUUCUCCAGGCCUGAAGCCACAGUCUCGGGUGUGAUGGUGACAGGACCCCUGCGCAGCCACCAAGGUACACACGCGGAGUGAAGGAACAAAGACCAAGGGAGGUCUCGGCCACACUCGCCGGGUCGGACACUGGCCCCUCCGAGUCCUUCCAGGUCUCCACAUGGCUCACAGGGCCAGGGACCUGCAUGGCGAAGAGAGACAGCUCUUGACAGUUACCAGAGUCUGUUCUAGGUCUCAGACAGAGUUCAGCUCCACGGAUGCAAUCUAUACUGAGUCCCCACAAGCUGCAACACUGACGUGGAGAGAAAAUGACGGGACAGACCAGGAUGGGCGAUCAGGCAAACAUUACAAAUUGUGUUUGCAAAGACUAUUUAAUAACGGAAGGAAAUGCUCACAAUGUGGUUUCAAGUGGAAAAGUAAGUUACAGAAAUACCCCACGUCACGGAGCAACAAAACGGGCACGUUCCCAGGCUACGGAAGCAAACAGACCCCAGUGCCAACCGUGCUGACCGCUGGGAGAUGAGACCGGGGAGGGGGGGCAGUCCCCAUUUUCCUCUUAAUUCUCAUGUUCCAAGUUCCCUGCAAUAAAUAAUUGUUUUUAUUUUUAUUCUUAUUUUUUAUUUUUUGAGACGCAGUCUUGCUCUGUCACCCAGGCUGGAGUGCCAUGGUGCUAUCUCAGCUCACUGCAACCUCCGCCUCCUGAAUUCAAGUGAUUCACCUGCCUCAGCCUCCAGAGUAGCUGGGAUUACAGGUACCCGCCACCACACCCAGCUAAUGUUUGUAGUUUUAGUAGAGACAGAGUUUCACCAUGAUGGCCAAAUAAUUGUUUUUACAACUGAAAUUGAUUGUGCUAAAAUGGAAUAAAAAUUUAAAUAACA